AUUGAACGCUGCGGCAUGCCUUACACAUGCAAGUCGAACGGCAGCACGGGAGCAAUCCUGGUGGCGAGUGGCGAACGGGUGAGUAAUACAUCGGAACGUGCCCUGUCGUGGGGGAUAACUAGUCGAAAGAUUAGCUAAUACCGCAUACGACCUGAGGGUGAAAGCGGGGGACCGUAAGGCCUCGCGCGAUAGGAGCGGCCGAUGUCUGAUUAGCUAGUUGGUGGGGUAAAGGCCCACCAAGGCGACGAUCAGUAGCUGGUCUGAGAGGACGAUCAGCCACACUGGGACUGAGACACGGCCCAGACUCCUACGGGAGGCAGCAGUGGGGAAUUUUGGACAAUGGGGGCAACCCUGAUCCAGCAAUGCCGCGUGUGUGAAGAAGGCCUUCGGGUUGUAAAGCACUUUUGUCCGGAAAGAAAUCCCUUGCCCUAAUACGGCGGGGGGAUGACGGUACCGGAAGAAUAAGCACCGGCUAACUACGUGCCAGCAGCCGCGGUAAUACGUAGGGUGCGAGCGUUAAUCGGAAUUACUGGGCGUAAAGCGUGCGCAGGCGGUUUUGUAAGACAGGCGUGAAAUCCCCGAGCUCAACUUGGGAAUGGCGCUUGUGACUGCAAGGCUAGAGUAUGUCAGAGGGGGGUAGAAUUCCACGUGUAGCAGUGAAAUGCGUA
This 668-nucleotide ribosomal RNA is filed under the name uncultured bacterium. RNAcentral's name for it is "bacterial SSU rRNA". It matches the Rfam family "Bacterial small subunit ribosomal RNA", at positions 28 to 692 of the family's 1533-position model. The record is from RNAcentral.